This is a non-coding RNA of Ornithorhynchus anatinus (platypus), 138 nucleotides long. The record is from Rfam. Lineage: Eukaryota; Metazoa; Chordata; Mammalia; Monotremata; Ornithorhynchidae.
CCCCUCUCAGGGUCACACCUGGAGAGUUUUCAGUACUCUACCAGUCUCGACUACGGGAGGGAGAGACAAGCAGAGGCAUAUCUAUUCCAUUCCUAGCUUGGGCACUGACUAGCAAGUGGAAGGCAAUCCGCUACAAGU